UGAGCUUUAAGUUAUAAAAACUAUCAGCCUUCCAAGCUAGAAAAAAGACACUCUUAGGCUUAA
Molecule: transfer RNA, 63 nt
Filed under: Hyalella armata
Lineage: Eukaryota; Metazoa; Arthropoda; Malacostraca; Amphipoda; Hyalellidae
Also listed under: 1 other name
Description: tRNA-Gly
Source: RNAcentral